This is a long non-coding RNA of Polistes dominula (European paper wasp), 126 nucleotides long. The record is from RefSeq and is a predicted model, not a curated record. NCBI's taxonomy places the organism in Eukaryota, Metazoa, Arthropoda, Insecta, Hymenoptera, Vespidae.
ACGAAAAUGGUUAUGCGCAUGCGCAUUUGUUUACCGCAAAUCAAAGGAUUACCUGCGAUUCGUUUAUCGAUUAUUUUUGCGAUCGACCUGGUUUAGCUUGUGUUCUACGACGUGCUAAUUCUGAUA